Molecule: ribosomal RNA, 497 nt
Filed under: uncultured bacterium
Lineage: Bacteria
Description: partial 16S ribosomal RNA
Rfam family: Bacterial small subunit ribosomal RNA
Source: RNAcentral
GAUGAACGCUGGCGGCGUGCCUAAUACAUGCAAGUCGAGCGAACGGACGAGAAGCUUGCUUCUCUGAUGUUAGCGGCGGACGGGUGAGUAACACGUGGAUAACCUACCUAUAAGACUGGGAUAACUUCGGGAAACCGUAGCUAAUACCGGAUAAUAUUUUGAACCGCAUGGUUCAAAAGUGAAAGACGGUCUUGCUGUCACUUAUAGAUGGAUCCGCGCUGCAUUAGCUAGUUGGUAAGGUAACGGCUUACCAAGGCAACGAUGCAUAGCCGACCUGAGAGGGUGAUCAGCCACACUGGAACUGAGACACGGUCCAGACUCCUACGGGAGGCAGCAGUAGGGAAUCUUCCGCAAUGGGCGAAAGCCUGACGGAGCAACGCCGCGUGAGUGAUGAAGGUCUUCGGAUCGUAAAACUCUGUUAUUAGGGAAGAACAUAUGUGUAAGUAACUGUGCGCAUCUUGACGGUACCUAAUCAGAAAGCCACGGCUAACUACGUG